CCCUUAGAUGUUCUGGGCCGCACGCGCGCUACACUGACACAGCCAACGAGUACCUCCUAGGCUGAAAAGCUCGGGUAAUCUUUUGAAUGUGCAUCGUGAUUGGGAUAGAUGAUUGCAAUUUUUCAUCUUCAACGAGGAAUGCCUAGUAAACGCAAGUCACCAGCUUGCAUUGAUUACGUCCCUGCCCUUUGUACACACCGCCCGUCGCUCCUACCGAUUGAAUGAUCCGAUGAAUAUCAUGGAUUGAGGAUGCAAGUAGGUUAGCCUAUCUUCAUCUUCGAGAAGUGAAGUAAAUCUUAUCAUUUAGAGGAAGGAGAAGUCGUAACA
This 327-nucleotide ribosomal RNA is filed under the name uncultured eukaryote. RNAcentral describes it as "partial 18S ribosomal RNA". It matches the Rfam family "Eukaryotic small subunit ribosomal RNA", at positions 1470 to 1796 of the family's 1831-position model. The record is from RNAcentral.